This is a long non-coding RNA of Cyprinus carpio (common carp), 2209 nucleotides long. Lineage: Eukaryota; Metazoa; Chordata; Actinopteri; Cypriniformes; Cyprinidae. The record is from Ensembl.
AUGUGCGAGAAACCUAUUUUGUGUGAUACAAAGUCCUCGAGCGGGAAUAUGGAUUCUGUACAUUGCUGGAAUGGAGCAAAAGGUGACCAGAUCCCCACUAGGGCUAGACCCAUGUCAGACACCUUAUCCAAACUGGCCCAACUGAUCACUUGCAUCGAGUACAAACCAAAACAACAGCGCUCUUCCUUCAUCUGCAAAGACUGCGGCAACAAAUUCUCCGACCAGAAGAGUCUUGAGCGUCACCAGAAAAGAGAGCACGCCCUGCAAAAGCUCCAUUGCUGUCAACAGUGUGGGCAAAAGUUUGCUUUGCUCUCUAGUUUGCAGCUACACAAAUGUUCUCACACCUCAUCCAUGUGCCAGACAUGCAUGGGGAAGCCUCAGAGGGGUUCUUCUUGCCCUUCCUGCGGGACUGAAUCUUCAGAAGAUCCCUUCUAUCAUGACAAUAGCCCCUAUGCGUGCGCUCCAUGCGGACAAGCCUUCAGCCACAAGCAAGAGCUGCUGCACCACCAGCAGGCCGGAGGCUGUCAGCCCGCCAAGACUCCCAAACCUCCUCCACCUUCAGAUGACUCCUUGCCUCCGUCUCCUCCAAGUGCCAACUCAUCUCCUACCACAUGCACUUUGUGUCACAAAACGUUCCGUUCUUCUGCUGGACUUGGUUGCCACAUGCGCUUUUCCGAUGUGCACAUGAAAAGCAGCACAGAGGUGAAAACAGAUGUCAUUGUAAGUACGUUGAAGAAGAAGAAGAAAAAGAAGAAAGAAGUUCUCAUCUCAAGUACGUCGUUUCCAUGCCGUUCCUGUGACAAAUCAUUUCCUAAGACAUCACUCCUCCAUCAGCACAGGAAAGAGGAACACCGGCGGGAGAUAAAGGUGAGGAAGCUGCAGCGAACCUCUUUGAAGACCACCAGGCAAAGGCGGAAAGGUGAAAUAUAUCCAUGCCUCCAUUGUGGAAAAGAGUUCCUGCACCAUCUGACGCGUCGGGCGCAUUUUAGACACUACAGCUCUCACUAUCAGACCCACCUCAAACUGAGCGGCAAAUCAUCCGGCGCUGACGCACCUGUGUUCCACCCAAAGCCAGCUAAGGAGCUCGGACCUCCCCAAGAAAAAAGAUCAAGAGGUAGACCUAGAAUCAAAAAUCUACCUGUUUUGAUGGUAACCAAGCAAAAGGAAGAAGAGCAACUGGAUGAGGAGGAUGAUAAUGAUGAAGACGAGGAUGCCGAGUACCCUUGUACGUCAUGCGACCAGGUCUUUAGUUCCAAAGCUAAGCUGCAUGUCCAUGAGAAAGUGCAUGAGGAAUUCCCCGAGGAAGUCCCCGAGGAACGCCAUCAACCAGCCGCCACGUGCAGGUGUUGUAGUGUGUGUACAGGUGGGAUUCCCCUCGCUGAGAUUCCAGAAGAUUGUGAAAAGAAAGUCUAUCACUGUGUGCCUUGUGCCGAGGCGUUCAUAGCCCUGAACGCUUUUCUAGAGCACUGCCAGACGCAUCUGAUCCGUGAAAAUGAAGAUGAAUUCAGUGAUGAUUGAAAGAGCUUCCAUUUUUUUAAAGGAAUUGUUCACUCAAAAAAAAAAAAUUCAUUUUCUCACCAUCAUAUUCUAAUCAUGUUAACUGUUAUUAUUUUUUCUUACAGAACAUCCUUUUUUUUUUUUUUUUUAAGAACCAUUGCAUACAUUUAGAUAAAAAGCACCUUAAAAGUGCUUCUAAAAUGAAUAUUCUUUAAAUUUUUGUGUAUGCAUAUACAUAUAAUUAUGGAAUUGAAAUUAUUUGGUGAACUAUUCCUUUAAGAAUGAAAUCUCUGUCAUCAUUUACUCACCUAAAUGUUUGUUUUAACCGAAACCUUUUGAUUCCAAUUGACUUCCAUUGUAUUUUUGUCCAUUUAAUGGAAGUCAAUUUCAACUAAAACUGUUACAGACAUUUUUCAUAAUAUCUUCUUGAAUUUUUCACAUAAACAUGCUGACAUAAGGGCGAGUAAAUGAUGACCGGGUUGAAUUUUUUGGGUGAACUGUCCCUUUAAGGGCAGGGAAAUCAUUCUGCAGAUGUUCAGGCUAUCAGGAAUUUUUGUUUUUUGGUAAACCGUCUGAAUAUAAUCACACUUUUUUUUACAGGUUUUGAUUUCUGUGGUUCGUGAGGUAUAAUGUUGUACACAGGAUAACUCACUUCCACCAAUCUGAGCCAAACUGCCAGAAUAAAUAAUAGAAGCCUUUGAUAAGAUCGACA